Molecule: long non-coding RNA, 1865 nt
Organism: Puntigrus tetrazona (Sumatra barb)
Lineage: Eukaryota; Metazoa; Chordata; Actinopteri; Cypriniformes; Cyprinidae
Exons: 4
Source: RefSeq, a predicted model, not a curated record
GGAUGGGGGUUGUGUCCGUUCAGGUGAAGAGAACACACAUCUCUCUAUCUCUUUCAAAGACAGCUCUUCAAAAGAGACAAGUGUAUGAAUCUUUGAUGGUAACCUUUCCCAGAAUACCUCUCUCUCUCACGCUCUCUAUUUCAGCCCCUGGGCAACGGCAAGCACUGUAAUGCCUGAUGUCUGCAGGCACGGUCACAGAACUUAAAUGUGACUUUUCAUCCCGAACAAAAUCUUGAAAAUUAACCUCUUUGAAUGGAUAAAUGUCAAUUCUAUUGGAAGAAGACCAGCCUUUGGGAGAAAAUGUAAAUCUUUUAAUUUAAAGACAGCUGUGAGGAUGCGGGCAUAAAAAUUGUUGCUUAGUCUGCAUGAGCAUUGUGGAUCAGUGUUGUACCUUGCUGCUGUGUUACAGCUGAGCUCCAUAUCCAGACUAAACAAACCAUCGUAACACAACAGCUCUCAUCUUCAUUUACACAGGUGCUACAGUAUUUACAGAGAGACCUGUGCAAGCGGUUGCUUUAAUACUCUCGCGUUUCCACAUAUAGACACAUACGUCUGCAAAUAAGCGCUCCACCCUCUUUGCACGUUUCCUGCCGUGGCUUUGGAAUUAUAGCACAUUAUGCAAGUCUAUCAUAGACUCAGACAGUCUGAGCUGGGGUUAUGUGAUCCUGGAUGCAGCGAUGCAGAAAUGAUGGCUCCUUGCUUUCCAAACACUAGACUGCUUCUGAAGAUGGGCGGGUUUGCACACAUAAACCCACAUGCAUAAACAUACAGAGGUAAACACACCCACACACCUGCACAAUAAAUGAGGAUUCAACUGCGAUGAGCACGCUGGAAAUCUGAGCGAGCUUCCACCUGUACUGGCUGGAACACUUGAGAUCUGGAUGAGUCUUUGUUUGUGAAUGAAUCAUUUAGGCUAUGUCAAGAUUUUCAGUUACUUCUUACAUUUUUGUAACUAGAUCAGUUUUUUAACGCUCUUUUUACUAUUUAAAUGCAUCGAAUUCUCUCAUGCGAGUUCAGGUUAAAGGGUUAGGUCACUCAAAAAUGAAAAUGAACAUUUACUUCGAAGCAUCCUAGGUGUAUGUGACUUCCUUCUUCCAUACGAAUCUAAUCGGAGUUCUAUUAAAAAUUGUCCUCACGUUUCUAAGCUUUAUCGUUGCAGUAGGAGGAACAGUCUAAGACAUGUAAAAAAAGUGCACACAAACAUAACAGAAGGGAGAGGAAAGUGUUUAUUACAUUUGAAAUAUGAAUAUUUAUCUUGCAAAAAUGCAUGGAUCCGCUACAGGAGGCCUUCAUUCACCCCCUGGAGCCAUAUGAGCGAUGCUUUUAAUCAACCCAGGCUCAUUGGAAAAUGAGUCUCUACAUACAUUUCUGCAACCCAGUAGUUAUGUACCUUACUGCACGUUUUGCCUCAAUUUUAAAGUGAAAUGUCCUGAGAGUGCUGUUAAAUCACACUUUUAAUAUGUGACCGCACCACGUUUUUAUUGUAAUUUAAAUACGUAGUAAAUGUCGCUAAAGACUAAUGCUCUAUAAUGUUGUAAAUAUCCUCUAAACCACACUGGAAACUAACCUACCCAAUAGCAUUAACAAAUAAAUGUAAUGCAAAGUAAUGUAAAAACUGAUUUGCUGAUUCAAUCAUCCUAUUUUAACUUCUUUGUGCUAAUUUGAGUUGUUUAGUUGAACCUUGAGUUUGAACCGGAGGUUUUCACCAUCUAAGUGCAACACCGUAUCACGUGAGCUACCGAAUAAACCUACUGAACUAGAAAACUCACACAUAUACGUACUGUAUAUGUGACGAUAAUGUUUAAAAGUAUUUUUUUUUGUAAUUGUGCAGGAUGUUAAAAUUGUUUUGAAGUCAUAGCAUACCA